Non-coding RNA from Glossina fuscipes fuscipes, 193 nucleotides. The record is from Rfam. Lineage: Eukaryota; Metazoa; Arthropoda; Insecta; Diptera; Glossinidae.
ACUUCAUCAUACGAUGCGCAAUAAUUGCAACCAGCCUCCGCGAAGUAAUACUUAACGGUGGUCUCGCGGGGGAGAUUGGUAAUAGAAGCGUGUGGGGGUAGCUUUCAGUGCGUAUGGCCCAUGGAUGGCGAAUGGUGCAUGCUGCUACUAAGAAACAGCAGUAUCUUUUGAAGAUUUUCUACCUUCAGCUCGC